This 375-nucleotide unclassified non-coding RNA is filed under the name uncultured Gammaproteobacteria bacterium. Its description in RNAcentral is "contains 16S-23S intergenic spacer region". Lineage: Bacteria; Pseudomonadati; Pseudomonadota; Gammaproteobacteria. The record is from RNAcentral.
UCCGGUUUGUCACCGGCAGUCUCCUUAGAGUGCCCAACUUAAUGAUGGCAACUAAGGACAAGGGUUGCGCUCGUUGCGGGACUUAACCCAACAUCUCACGACACGAGCUGACGACAGCCAUGCAGCACCUGUGUUCAGGCUCCUUGCGGCACCCCUACAUCUCUGUAAGGUUCCUGACAUGUCAAGACCAGGUAAGGUUCUUCGCGUUGCAUCGAAUUAAACCACAUACUCCACCGCUUGUGCGGGCCCCCGUCAAUUUCUUUGAGUUUCAACCUUGCGGCCGUACUCCCCAGGCGGAGAACUUAGCGCGUUAGCUACGACACCGAUCGGUAAACCGGCCAACGGCUAGCAUCCAUCGUUUACGGCGUGGACUAC